This 460-nucleotide ribosomal RNA is filed under the name uncultured bacterium. RNAcentral's name for it is "partial 16S ribosomal RNA". It matches the Rfam family "Bacterial small subunit ribosomal RNA", at positions 338 to 795 of the family's 1533-position model. The record is from RNAcentral.
CCUACGGGAGGCAGCAGUGAGGAAUAUUGGUCAAUGGCCGAGAGUCUGAACCAGCCAAGUCGCGUGAAGGAAGACUGCCCUACGGGUUGUAAACUUCUUUUAUAAAGGAGUAAAACGCGGCACGUGUGCCUUUUUGCAUGUACUUUAUGAAUAAGCAUCGGCUAACUCCGUGCCAGCAGCCGCGGUAAUACGGAGGAUCCGAGCGUUAUCCGGAUUUAUUGGGUUUAAAGGGAGCGUAGAUGGGGUGGUAAGUCAGCUGUGAAAGUUUGGGGCUCAACCGUAAACUUGCAAUUGAUACUGGCAGUCUUGAGUACAGUUGAGGUAGGCGGAAUGCGUGGUGUAGCGGUGAAAUGCUUAGAUAUCACGAAGAACCCCGAUUGCGAAGGCAGCUUACUAAAGUGUGACUGACAUUGAUGCUCGAAAGUGUGGGUAUCGAACAGGAUUAGAUACCCGUGUAGUC